This 1204-nucleotide ribosomal RNA is filed under the name Renschetrema sp. VT8271. Its description in RNAcentral is "partial large subunit ribosomal RNA". It matches the Rfam family "Eukaryotic large subunit ribosomal RNA", at positions 104 to 895 of the family's 3401-position model. The record is from RNAcentral. Lineage: Eukaryota; Metazoa; Platyhelminthes; Trematoda; Plagiorchiida; Microphallidae.
AAGCCCAGCACCGAAGCCUGUGGCCAAUUGGUCACUAGGCAAUGUGGUGUUUAGGUCGUUCCGCAGAGGUACUGCUCCACCCUAAGUCCAGCAAUGAGUACGGUAGUACGGACAUGGCCCAUGGAGGGUGAAAGGCCCGUGGGGGUGGAGAUCAGGUAGGCCAGUGCCUCUCUGGGUAGACCUUGGAGUCGGGUUGUUUGUGAAUGCAGCCCAAAGUGGGUGGUAAACUCCAUCCAAGGCUAAAUACAAGCACGAGUCCGAUAGCGAACAAGUACCGUGAGGGAAAGUUGAAAAGUACUUUGAAGAGAGAGUAAACAGUGCGUGAAACCGCUCAGAGGUAAACGGGUGGAGUUGAACUGCAAGCUUCGAGAAUUCAGCUGGUGAGUUUGGUUUGAGCUUGGUCAAAUCGGUUGGGCCCUGAGGUCUGUGUAGCAGCAGGUCUUUGCCUUCGGGUGAAGAUGCGCGAUGCACUUAUCAAGUGUUGUGCGCCUUGGGUGUUCAUCAGGCCGGCUCGCCAGUGCAUUUUCUCGGAGUGUUCACCACGACCGGCAUCGCUGUCUGACUGUUGUGGUUAAACCGGUCUUGCAUGGUCCUUGUGGCUUUGCUUGGUCGGGACGGCAGGUAGCUCGUUGAUCUGCUUGUAGCUUGCUACAGGCCUGGUCUUCGAGUGUAAUCAGCUGACCGCAUCAGUUCUGUGCAGUAUGUCGGAGACGGCGGCUCGUGGUGUGUACGCGCGUGCCUGUUCAGUUGACGUACUUGGGUUUGGUUAUUAUGUUGCCUGUACUUGCAGGCCUGAUGAUAGCCCGAGUUCGUUUGGCUGGCGGUUGCGUGUGUUACACUUUUCAAGGGCCAAUAGUCUGUGGUGUAGUGGUAGACUAUCCACCUGACCCGUCUUGAAACACGGACCAAGGAGAGUAACAUGUACGCGAGUCAUUGGGCACUACGAAACCCAAAGGCGCAGUGAAAGUAAAGGUCUGGCUUGUCCAGACUGAGGUGAGAUCCUGUCGUUUCUCAUGCGCGGUACUACCAAGCUUCGAGCGGCAGGCGCAUCACCGGCCCGUCCCAUGACAAUUGUUUUCGGGCAUUACUCAGUCGGGGCGGAGCAUGAGCGUACAUGUUGAGACCCGAAAGAUGGUGAACUAUGCUUGCGCAGGUUGAAGCCAGAGGAAACUCUGGUGGAGGACCGCAGCGGUUCUGACGUGCA